Molecule: ribosomal RNA, 1570 nt
Filed under: Staphylococcus croceilyticus
Lineage: Bacteria; Bacillati; Bacillota; Bacilli; Caryophanales; Staphylococcaceae
Description: Staphylococcus petrasii subsp. croceilyticus partial 23S ribosomal RNA
Rfam family: Bacterial large subunit ribosomal RNA
Source: RNAcentral
UUAGAUUAAGUUAUUAAGGGCGCACGGUGGAUGCCUUGGCACUAGAAGCCGAUGAAGGACGUUACUAACGACGAUAUGCUUUGGGUAGCUGUAAGUAAGCGUUGAUCCAGAGAUUUCCGAAUGGGGGAACCCAGCACGAGUUAUGUCGUGUUAUCGACAAGUGAAUUCAUAGCUUGUCAGAAGGCAGACCCGGAGAACUGAAACAUCUUAGUACCCGGAGGAAGAGAAAGAAAAUUCGAUUCCCUGAGUAGCGGCGAGCGAAACGGGAAGAGCCCAAACCAAUAAGCUUGCUUAUUGGGGUUGUAGGACACUCUAUACGGAGUUACAAAGGAAUAUGUUAGACGAAUCAUCUGGAAAGUUGAAUCAAAGAAGGUAAUAAUCCUGUAGUUGAAAAUGUAUUCUCUCUUGAGUGGAUCCUGAGUACGACGGAGCACGUGAAAUUCCGUCGGAAUCUGGGAGGACCAUCUCCUAAGGCUAAAUACUCUCUAGUGACCGAUAGUGAACCAGUACCGUGAGGGAAAGGUGAAAAGUACCCCGGAAGGGGAGUGAAAGAGAACUUGAAACCGUGUGCUUACAAGUAGUCAGAGCCCGUUAAUGGGUGAUGGCGUGCCUUUUGUAGAAUGAACCGGCGAGUUACGAUCUGAUGCAAGGUUAAGCAGAAAAUGUGGAGCCGUAGCGAAAGCGAGUCUGAAUAGGGCGUUCAGUAUUUGGUCGUAGACCCGAAACCAGGUGAUCUACCCAUGGUCAGGUUGAAGUUCAGGUAACACUGAAUGGAGGACCGAACCGACUUACGUUGAAAAGUGAGCGGAUGAACUGUGGGUAGCGGAGAAAUUCCAAUCGAACUUGGAGAUAGCUGGUUCUCUCCGAAAUAGCUUUAGGGCUAGCCUCAAGUGAUGAUUAUUGGAGGUAGAGCACUGUUUGGACGAGGGGCCCCUCUCGGGUUACCGAAUUCAGACAAACUCCGAAUGCCAAUUAAUUUAACUUGGGAGUCAGAACAUGGGUGAUAAGGUCCGUGUUCGAAAGGGAAACAGCCCAGACCACCAGCUAAGGUCCCAAAAUAUAUGUUAAGUGGAAAAGGAUGUGGCGUUGCCCAGACAACUAGGAUGUUGGCUUAGAAGCAGCCAUCAUUUAAAGAGUGCGUAAUAGCUCACUAGUCGAGUGACACUGCGCCGAAAAUGUACCGGGGCUAAACAUAUUACCGAAGCUGUGGAUUGUCCUUUGGACAAUGGUAGGAGAGCGUUCUAAGGGCGUUGAAGCAUGAUCGCAAGGACAUGUGGAGCGCUUAGAAGUGAGAAUGCCGGUGUGAGUAGCGAAAGACGGGUGAGAAUCCCGUCCACCGAUUGACUAAGGUUUCCAGAGGAAGGCUCGUCCGCUCUGGGUUAGUCGGGUCCUAAGCUGAGGCCGACAGGCGUAGGCGAUGGAUAACAGGUUGAUAUUCCUGUACCACCUAACAUCGUUUUAAUCGAUGGGGGGACGCAGUAGGAUAGGCGAAGCGUGCUGUUGGAGUGCACGUCUAAGCAGUGAGAUUGAGUGUUAGGCAAAUCCGGCACUCUUAAGAUUGAGCUGUGAU